Molecule: long non-coding RNA, 1046 nt
Filed under: Mytilus galloprovincialis (Mediterranean mussel)
Lineage: Eukaryota; Metazoa; Mollusca; Bivalvia; Mytilida; Mytilidae
Source: RNAcentral
CAUUUGAUUCUAUUUGUUUAAGCAUUUACUGUGAGAAUAUAUAUUUGAUAUUUGAUUUCAUUUGCAACAGCUUUUUAUUCAACAACUGAUCCUAUUGUCUAAUUAAUGACUGAAUGGAUUGUUUUCUGCAGAAUAACAUAUCACAGAUACAUGUAAUGAUAAUUAGUAAUGAAUUCUUCCUUUCAUUGAUUAUGAAUCGUUUCCACUAUUGAUAUUCCAAAUCCUAAUGUGUAUAACUGACUAUUUUGUCGAAAGGGAAGAGUAUUUUUGAACUCUUUCCUGGUGUAUUUAGUCGUUUACUAAUUUUGAAAUGAUGACCAGAAGAAAAAGUUUUGCUAAAAUACAUUGUAUAAGGUUUUCAUUAUGAUCCAAGUUCAUUUUCGAUCGAAAUUCAAACCAAAUGCAGCUUGGGCUUACGUAAAUUAUCUGUUUUCAUUAAAUUACCAAAGACCUUUCCUAUUAAGGUACAUUGUUCACUUAAACCUAAUUAGCGAUCCCAUUUACGUGAACCCUUCAUAAUGUAAAGGAAAAUAAAAGCUACAGUGAAUUGAAUAAAAAAAAAAGAAUAAAUAUACCACCUGACAAUCUAGAUAACAAAUAUGAGAAAUUGACAUUUAUUUUUCAUGCACUAGGUCCUUUUUAUAAAAUGUCUAGAAUAUGCAAAUAAAGUCAUAAAGUUAUGUGGAAAUCCAUAAAUAACAUCCAAUUAAAGAAAAAUAUGUGUCUACUGUAUCACUUUGGCACUGUGAAUUUCCUCAUUCUAAUGUUAAGAAUACUAGACAUUUUACGUUGUUUUAUAUCCAAAUCAUCGCGAAAUCAAUUUGAUGAAAUUGUAUUUACUUCCCCACAUGCAUUGCAGCAUUUUAAUUACGUACACAAGACAUCAAGAAAUACACUUGUUAAUCCAAAUAUUUCCAUACAAUUUUCAUCCAAGCUAGUUAGAUAAACUUAAUUUGUAUUAUAAAAAGCAAAGUAUCAAAGCUUUAUAUAUAGAGGAAACCAAGUUCCAUUACAUGUAAAUAUCGCAAUAUGUUCCUUGUGUUGAC